GAUGAACGCUGGCGGCGUGCCUAAUACAUGCAAGUCGAGCGAACGGACGAGAAGCUUGCUUCUCUGAUGUUAGCGGCGGACGGGUGAGUAACACGUGGAUAACCUACCUAUAAGACUGGGAUAACUUCGGGAAACCGGAGCUAAUACCGGAUAAUAUUUUGAACCGCAUGGUUCAAAAGUGAAAGACGGUCUUGCUGUCACUUAUAGAUGGAUCCGCGCUGCAUUAGCUAGUUGGUAAGGUAACGGCUUACCAAGGCAACGAUGCAUAGCCGACCUGUGAGGGUGACCGGCCACCACGGAACUGAGACACGGUCCAGACUCCUACGGGAGGCAGCAGUAGGGAAUCUUCCGCAAUGGGCGAAAGCCUGACGGAGCAACGCCGCGUGAGUGAUGAAGGUCUUCGGAUCGUAAAACUCUGUUAUUAGGGAAGAACAUAUGUGUAAGUAACUGUGCACAUCUUGACGGUACCUAAUCAGAAAGCCACGGCUAACUACGUG
RNAcentral lists this ribosomal RNA (497 nucleotides) under uncultured bacterium. RNAcentral describes it as "partial 16S ribosomal RNA". It matches the Rfam family "Bacterial small subunit ribosomal RNA", at positions 28 to 507 of the family's 1533-position model. The record is from RNAcentral.